CAUAAACACGCACUGGUCGGCCAGCACACGAGGGCGUCGCACACAGGAUCAAAGACAGGGAAGAAGGACCCGGUGCUGCACGCAUACAAUUGCACUCGGCCCGCACCAGCGCGGUGUUGCCGUCGGAAACAAAGGCGCCGCGAUGUAGCCUGCUUGUCGAUCCCUACGGCCCCCAGCCUCUCAAAAGAGGCGAAAUAAAGUCAUGAAAAAGUCG
Molecule: long non-coding RNA, 214 nt
Filed under: Pandoravirus neocaledonia
Description: hypothetical ncRNA
Source: RNAcentral